UACGUAGGGUGCGAGCGUUAAUCGGAAUUACUGGGCGUAAAGGGUGCGCAGGCGGUUCCGCAUGUCGGGCGUGAAAUCCCCGGGCUUAACCUGGGAAUGGCGUCCGAAACUAUGGGACUGGAGUGUGGCAGAGGGAGGUGGAAUUCCACGUGUAGCGGUGAAAUGCGUAGAGAUGUGGAGGAACACCGAUGGCGAAGGCAGCCUCCUGGGCCAACACUGACGCUCAUGCACGAAAGCGUGGGGAGCAAACAGG
This 253-nucleotide ribosomal RNA is filed under the name uncultured bacterium. RNAcentral describes it as "partial 16S ribosomal RNA". It matches the Rfam family "Bacterial small subunit ribosomal RNA", at positions 524 to 776 of the family's 1533-position model. The record is from RNAcentral.